GAUGAACGCUGGCGGCGUGCCUAAUACAUGCAAGUCGAGCGGACGGACGAGGAGCUUGCUUCGCUGAUGUUAGCCGCGGAGGGGUGAGUAACACGUGGAUAACCUACCUAUAAGACGGGGAAAACCUCGGGAAACGGGAGAUAAUACCGGAUAAGAUUUUGAAGCACGGUGUUGAAAAGUGAGAGACGGUGGUGCGGGCUGUUAUAGAUGGAUCCGAGCUGCAUUGGCUGGUUGGGAAGUUAAAGGCUUACGAAGGCAACGAUGCAUAGCCGACCGGAGAGGGGGAUAGGCCACAUUGGAACUGAGACACGCUCCAGACUCCUACGGUAGGCAGCAGUAGGGAAUCUGCCGCAACGGGCGAAAGCCUGACGGAGCAACGCGGAGUCAGUGAUGAAGGUCCUCGGAUCGUAAAAAUCUGCUACUAGGGAUGAACAUAUGUGUAAGUAACUGUGCACAGCUUGACGGUACCUAAUCAGAAAGCCACGGCUAACUACGUG
RNAcentral lists this ribosomal RNA (497 nucleotides) under uncultured bacterium. Its description in RNAcentral is "partial 16S ribosomal RNA". It matches the Rfam family "Bacterial small subunit ribosomal RNA", at positions 28 to 507 of the family's 1533-position model. The record is from RNAcentral.